Salmo salar (Atlantic salmon) is the source of this 833-nucleotide non-coding RNA. Lineage: Eukaryota; Metazoa; Chordata; Actinopteri; Salmoniformes; Salmonidae. The record is from RefSeq and is a predicted model, not a curated record.
GAGGUGUCUGUCUGAUGUGUUAUUGAUUGUAUAUGUCUUAUUUUCAGGAUCCCAUUAUCACUAUGGCAAUGUUUAUCCUUUCCCUGUUUCCCUGUGCUGUGUUUGCUCUGAGCGGUGCAGCAGGUAACUCACACAGCAAACCAAGAAAACACCUCAUCCACAUAUGACAAUCUAAAAUGAUACAGCUCACAUUAUACACUGGUAAAAUACAAUUUCUUCAUAGUAUUUAGUUACAUCUCUUUUCUAGAGGAUCCCCAUGUCAUGGAAAACAACAUGGAACAGAGCCCACCUGCUGUGGGACUGUGAGCAAUUUGGAGCAAAACUUGCAUCCGUCCACACCUCUGAAGAGUGUAAUUUUGUGCAAGAGGUGAUCAGACAGAGGACUUUACCCCUGCCUGGAUUGGAGGAUCUGAUGCUGUUCAGAGUGACGGCUCCAAAUUUGGCUACAGGAACUGGCUCGCAGGAGAAACCAAUAAUGUUGGUGGCAGUGAGCCAUGCAUGAUGACGAACUGAAGAGUUGAAAAAGGCCGGAAUGAUGUUCAAUGGGAACGUACACUUCCAUCUGUGUGCUCCAAAAGGACAUGUUAAAUCUACCAUCGUGACAUCAACUGGACCUCAACUGAACCCCUUUUGUUUUUGUUGUAAUAACCUUUUUUCAUGAAAACUAUACAGUAUUCUUAUAGAAUGGGAAUAUAUGGUAGGCCUAUAGUUUUUAGGAAUCAUAGUCAAGCGUGAGACUUAACUUAAGGGGGCUUUUCUAUCAUGUAAGUAGGCUCUCGUCAAUCUUUUCAAUUCUGCUAAUCGUGUCAAAUGCCAUUGUGAAAUUCUUCUGA